This 426-nucleotide ribosomal RNA is filed under the name uncultured bacterium. Its description in RNAcentral is "partial 16S ribosomal RNA". It matches the Rfam family "Bacterial small subunit ribosomal RNA", at positions 354 to 796 of the family's 1533-position model. The record is from RNAcentral.
GUGAGGAAUUUUCCGCAAUGGGCGAAAGCCUGACGGAGCAAUGCCGCGUGAAGGAUGAAGGCCUAUGGGUUGUAAACUUCUUUUCUUAGAGAAGAAUAUUGACGGUAUCUGAGGAAUAAGCAUCGGCUAACUCUGUGCCAGCAGCCGCGGUAAGACAGAGGAUGCAAGCGUUAUCCGGAAUGAUUGGGCGUAAAGCGUCUGUAGGUGGCUUCAAAAGUCUCCUGUCAAAGAUCAGGGCUUAGACCUGGGCCGGCAAGAGAAACUCUGAGGCUAGAGUUUGGUAGGCGCAGAGGGAAUUCCCGGUGGAGCGGUGAAAUGCGUAGAGAUCGGGAGGAACACCAAAGGCGAAAGCACUCUGCUGGGCCACAACUGACACUGAGAGACGAAAGCGAGGGGAGCAAAAGGGAUUAGAAACCCCUGUAGUCC